Molecule: ribosomal RNA, 510 nt
Filed under: Delias hyparete (painted jezebel)
Lineage: Eukaryota; Metazoa; Arthropoda; Insecta; Lepidoptera; Pieridae
Description: partial 16S ribosomal RNA
Source: RNAcentral
GUCUUUUUGUUAAUAAUUUAAAGUUUAAUUUGCCCACUGAGAAUUUUUAAAGGGCUGCAGUAUAUUGACUGUACAAAGGUAGCAUAAUCAAUAGUCUUUUAAUUGAAGACUUGUAUGAAUGAUUUGAUGAGAUAUAAACUGUCUUUUUUUUAAUUAUAGAAUUUAAUUUUUUAGUUAAAAAGCUAAAAUUUUUUUAAAAGACGAGAAGACCCUAUAGAGUUUAAUUUUUUGAUUUUUAUUAAUAUUUUAAAAAAAUUAUAAUUAAUAAAAAUUAAAAAAUUUUGUUGGGGUGAUAGAAAAAUUUAUAAAACUUUUUUUAAAAAAUUAACAUUGAUUUAUGAUUUAUUGAUCCAUAAAUUAUGAUUAAAAGGUUAAAUUACCUUAGGGAUAACAGCGUAAUUUUUUUUUUUAGUUCAAAUAAAAAUUAAAGUUUGCGACCUCGAUGUUGGAUUAAGAUAAAAUUUAAAUACAAAAGUUUAAAAUUUUGAUCUGUUCGAUCAUUAAAAUCUU